UACAUGGGGUGCAAACGUUGCUCGGAAUUAUUGGGCGUAAAGGGCUCGUAGGCGGUCCAUCGCGUCGGGAGUGAAAAGCUGGGGCUUAACCCCAGUCCUGCUUCCGAUACGGGUGGACUAGAGGUAGGUAGGGGAGAUCGGAAUUCCUGGUGUGAGCGGUGGAAAUGCGCAGAUAUCAGGAGGAACACCGGUGGCGAAGGCGGAUCUCUGGGCCUUACCUGACGCUGAGGAGCGAAAGCAUGGGGAGCAAACAGG
This 255-nucleotide ribosomal RNA is filed under the name uncultured bacterium. RNAcentral describes it as "partial 16S ribosomal RNA". It matches the Rfam family "Bacterial small subunit ribosomal RNA", at positions 524 to 776 of the family's 1533-position model. The record is from RNAcentral.